AUGCCUCCAUGGGCGGCCACCCCCAUGCUGCCGCUGCUGCUCGUGCAGGGGAGAGGAGGCCACGACGCCAUCACCAUCGCCACCCUGGACAUGGACGUAGAGAUGGGGGUGGAGGUGGCGCAGAUGGGCGCGGAACCGGCGGCGCACGGGCGGCUGCUAUGGGCGACCGACGGCGGGCGGAGGUACAUCAGCUACGACGCGCUGGGGGGGACGUCGUGCUGUGCUCCCGGCCAGGGGUACCCUACUACAACUGCCGCAUCAGCACCACCACCAACCCCUACACCCGCGGCUGCGAGUCCAUCACCCGCUGCCGCAACGACGACCCUUCCUAGGUGA
This 336-nucleotide ribosomal RNA is filed under the name Triticum aestivum (bread wheat). RNAcentral describes it as "partial small subunit ribosomal RNA". Lineage: Eukaryota; Viridiplantae; Streptophyta; Magnoliopsida; Poales; Poaceae. The record is from RNAcentral.